Molecule: long non-coding RNA, 292 nt
Filed under: Monodelphis domestica (gray short-tailed opossum)
Lineage: Eukaryota; Metazoa; Chordata; Mammalia; Didelphimorphia; Didelphidae
Description: lncRNA (ENSMODG00000046635.1)
Source: RNAcentral
ACCUGGGUGAUGAGAGAAAAUAGUGGCAACACCAAUGCUCUGUACCAGGAGCUGUGGAGGAGACUAUCGAGCCAAGAUGGAGUGGCAUUCCAGCUCCUGUCUCUCUGCCCUCGUCCAGACGGCCAACAGUAUGGAUUAGAAUGGAUAGCCACCGAGAUCUGUUCCAACUCUGAAAUUCUUUGAUGCUACUAUCAAAACACAGUAGAUUUUUCAUCUAUUAGGAAAAAAGGUAAAACAUUUUAUGCAUGAUAUGGUUUUGGAUUUUUUCUUGGCUUCCAGAAAAUGAUACUUG